Cavia porcellus (domestic guinea pig) is the source of this 73-nucleotide transfer RNA. It matches the Rfam family "tRNA". Rfam says of the family: Transfer RNA (tRNA) molecules are approximately 80 nucleotides in length. Their secondary structure includes four short double-helical elements and three loops (D, anti-codon, and T loops). The record is from Rfam. NCBI's taxonomy places the organism in Eukaryota, Metazoa, Chordata, Mammalia, Rodentia, Caviidae.
GUGGAUUUAGCUCAGUGGCAUAAGCACCUGCCUUGCAAGCAGGUGGUCGUGAGUUUGAUCCCCAUUACCGAUA